This is a non-coding RNA of Momordica charantia (bitter melon), 2219 nucleotides long. The record is from RefSeq and is a predicted model, not a curated record. Lineage: Eukaryota; Viridiplantae; Streptophyta; Magnoliopsida; Cucurbitales; Cucurbitaceae.
UUGCCUUUUGGAGUGCAAUUUACUUUCUUAUAGUAGUUUUGUGGUUGCUAGAUUGGUUAUCAACCAAGACUUCCCUAAUUGCACAUAUCACCUACAAACCAUUGUUGCUCUCCAUUUGCCAUAUUCGGUCGUGGCAAAUUUUGGAGCUCUCCUCGCAGCCAUGAGCACUGAGCAGAAAGCAAGAAUCUGUAAGUGACCUAUGCUGUAACAUUCAAUUGCUCUAUUUUAUUUUAUGUUAUUAACUGCGCAAUGGUGCUAAACAGUUCAGUUCCUAGUGGAAUUAGUCAAGUUGCUGAAAAUAAAUUUAAUGGAUGUGGGUAUGGGUAUUCUCUUAGGAGAUUCACGGAAGAUUAUAUUAUAGAAUCGACCCAUUAGGAGAGGGUGUGAAAUGACGUGGUUCUUUUGGUCGGGAGGUUUUUUCUCCACUUCUCCUAGCCUUGCUGAAGAGGUGAAUAUUGGAGGAAGGGAAAAGGAGAAGUUAUAAUAUUAUUAGACUAUCGUUACAUGGCAAUCAACCUGCAGGAUGGAUUCCACAUAAGGUUUACUAAAAAAUGUUGCUGUUAUAUAACUUAGGUAACUACAAUUUUUUGCUUGGUUUAGUCUCCUGCUUAUUUGCUGCAGCGCUAACUUGUAGGACUGCUGAACUUCAAACACCCAUCUCCACAAACGUUUCUUCAGUUUCUUGGAAUUCAACUUGUUGCUUUCUUUCUUUUUCCAUCUAAAAUUGUUUUGAUCAUUGCUCUAAUUUUGAACAGGAAAUUCAUGAUGGAAUCACUGUGCUUCCCUCUAUUGGCUCAUUUGUAUGAGGUGCUAAUCUAUCAUGCACAGGGAAGUAGUUUUACUUUUGUGGUUAAAUACUGGCUCUAAAUUUUGCUUGAGUGACUUUAUUAGCUUGAUUGGCUACAAUUUUUCCUGUUCCCUUCAAGUUUAUUAUAAUUGCUGUUCCCUUUUUAGGUUACAAAAUGAAUUAACAAAGUUAUUUGGCUCUACGGAAAAAGGAUAAGGCAUGCUACUCUUCUAAACACUGUAGUUAGCCGUGGACACCCAAAAUGGCUUUAUGUUCGUACGUCUCAUCAUCUGAACUUGUACAAAAUUUGGGUUUAACAAAGCAACCAAAGCAUAGGCGAGGUGAUGCUCAGAUACAUGCGCCAUGCGCCACAAUAAUAAGGGUUGGAUCCUUACUUAUUCUUCCUCUUCUCCAUGAUAUAAAUCUAGAUACAGUAGCUAAAUUAUUGUUUGGAUGAAUUAAUUUCCAGUGAUUGACCCGAAUAGGCUUGAAGUGGAAGCAAGAGAUGGACCGCGAAAUGGAGAAUUCCAACUAAAAUGCAUGAUAUAAAUGAGAGAAUUUACUAUAAUGUUAGUGAUGAUUGAUUGUCUUUUAGAGUUACAUAACCUGAAGGAAUUUGCACGGACUUGAUAAGUAGAUAGCGUUUGAUUUAUAGUUCUAUCUUAUUAUAAGAAUCUGCUCACCGAAGGGAAAGGACUUCUAAAUUGAUUGUUUUUAGUGAAGGUGGUCAUAUGAUAUGAUUUCUUAUGUUCGUUGUAGCAAGUAAGAGAUCUCGUGGACAUUGCUUAUUAUAAUGUGGUUGUUGAUAUCUCCCAUUCUUCUACCGUUGACAAACUACAACUUCAUGAUUUAUCCUUUUAAAACCUUAUAAAUACUGAAUUUUCAUGUGGUUUCACUUCUUAGUGUGCAUCUUUUUUGCCUAUAUUUUGCACUGUCAUAUCAUUUAAUGACUGUAGUUACUUUUGGUCUGUUGCCCCAGUGACAGGUCAAGUUUGGCAAUGGCUUGGGUCUCUUGGUCAUAACGGCUUAGAGGUCUCAAAUUCGAAUCUUCUGGUGGGUUCAAUACCAAAAGACUUUGGGGUUAGAUUCUUUAUAUACCAUUGGUUAAUUCAAGAAUUGGAGAUGAGAUACUUCGGAGGGAAUCGACAAGAGAAAAUAGAGGAACCUCUUCUUCCAAGGUAUACAAUGACAUCUUGCUAUUAUAAUUAGAUUGUUAGAUCUCUUGUGACGUGAGGAUAUUCAUUUUCUCUUUUGUUUUCUCAAAGUAUGCCUCCCCUCAGAGUGGAUCCUAAAGGAAUGAAAUGGGGUCUCCCAAAAUCAAAUUUUGGGUGGGUUAAUUUUUUAAGCAUGAUACUCUUCUUUUAUAGAUAUUUCUUUCCAACUACUUGAUUGUAUUUGCACCUGUACCACGGUUCUUUGUUUCUAUAAUAUU